AGCUCAAAGAGAUUGGAGCUUCAGUCCAGCUUCACAGGCUCCGCCCCUGGCAAAGGAAGGGGGCGGGGCAGUUUGAUGGAGCGCCUAUGGCAAUCUGAUUUCCACUACGGGGGCAUGUCCUCGCUUGCAUGUGCGCCCUCAACGUCUGCCCUGCAGUCAAAGAAACAACUCUCUAUACAGUCUGUUUUGGCAUCCAUCCCAACUAAGAAACUUGAUAAACUUUAGAAUUUUUUUUCUUUUCUUUUUUUUUUCAAAUGUGCUGGUGUUCAUGUUGUCUAAUCAAGUCUUACUUCAUGUAGUUCUGAAUUCAGGUGAGGUGUCAGGCUGUUCAGGUGACUUCAAAGGCCUGAUGUCUAUGCUGACACCUGGAGCGCUUAAUAUUAAGAAACACUUAGGACAAGCAAAGAAUUCAAGGUGCUCCAGAGUAGUCCUCCCUCCCAGCCCAAUGUAAGCAGGGGUUCCUUGCUCUCUCCGAAAGAUGCCCCUCAGG
Carassius carassius (crucian carp) is the source of this 490-nucleotide long non-coding RNA. RefSeq lists it as uncharacterized. The record is from RefSeq and is a predicted model, not a curated record. Lineage: Eukaryota; Metazoa; Chordata; Actinopteri; Cypriniformes; Cyprinidae. The transcript has 3 exons.